RNAcentral lists this ribosomal RNA (1020 nucleotides) under Triticum aestivum (bread wheat). RNAcentral's name for it is "partial small subunit ribosomal RNA". The record is from RNAcentral. Lineage: Eukaryota; Viridiplantae; Streptophyta; Magnoliopsida; Poales; Poaceae.
AUGCAUGGCACCACCUUCCCAGCUGAGAAACGAAGAUGCGUAUCUCCUUCCCCGCCUCCGGCAACCCGGUGCCUCGCAGCGCGCGACGCCGGCUCCGGCGCAUAUUCCAGGCCGACCUGGGACUCGCUGCAUGGAGAUUUGGUACGCCUCGUCGCGUCGGGCGUGCUAGCCGGAGAUCUAUUGGACUACGUCCGCUUCCGCGCCGUCUGCGCGCACUGGCGAUCGGAGACGCUCUCCCCGCGCGGCCAUGGGGUGGUCGAUCCCCGCUUCCACCCGCGCCGCUGGAUGAUGUUCCCGGAGCACCGUGGCCUCUACCCCGGACACCCGGAGCUGGGUGGCUACAUCCGCUUCUUCAACCUAGACUCAGGCGUCUUCGUCCGCGUCUGCCUCCCGCUGUUCAGGAGCCACUGCAUUCUCGAUUCGGUCCAUGGCCUCCUCCUCCAGCAGAGGGACAAGGACGCGGCCAUCCGUCUCCUCCACCCAUUCACCCGUGACAUCGUCGACCUUCCACCUCUCACCACUCUCGCCGCACAAAUGCCCGAGGGGACAGACCAGUCGCUCCGGCGGAUGAGAUUCAUCUCCACUUCGGCUUCCUUCGCUGCGGGAGUCGUCACCGUCUUGCUUACCUUCAAUAAGUUUGAGGGUGUGGCCGUGGAUACCUCCCUGGAGACGCAAUGGACGAUGCUAGGUUUGGAAUGCCCAGGGUGGUCGUAUCCGGUCUCAUUACACGGCAAGCUAUACGCAGUUGAUAUCGCGGCAAUCAACGUGACCGGUGCACCAAUGAUCUUCGAGAUGGACGCGGCACACCACCAUCGAGCUCGAGCCACACCAAAACUGAUCUUCACAUGCCCGGAAGACAAACAACGCCUCUACUCGAGCGAUCUGGUAGAGCAUGGCUCGGAAAUCUUAGUGGUUAGCCGUGACGACGAUUUCCUAUCCCAUAUUACUGUCUAUAGACAAAGAAAUAUUUGUGUAUCUUCCAAGGCAUUUCCUACCGUCCAGGCCAAUACUAUUGUCUAG